AGAUCAGAGUCUCAACCCACAAAAUUGCAAAUGCGUCUACCCAUAUGAGGGAGUGAUGUUUUUCAGAGCACCUCUAUUCCGAGAUGUGACAAACAGCACACUGUUCCAAUCAUUGGAGAGCAGCCUGUGGAAAAAACUUGACCUUCCUCCUGGAUCAGUGUUUCUUCAAAACCCCUUUUUCAACAUUGACUCUUACCUGCAGGUACAAGUUAAAAUUUUCCCAUCCAGCGGAAUGUACUUCAACAGGUCUGAAAUUCUACAGAUUGGAUUCAAAUUGAGCAAUCAAAUAUACAAGCCGCCUGAAAUUUUCGGACCUUACUCUUUCAAAGCAUUCCAAUAUCCUUUCCCAGGUGACUUCUCCAUCCUUUAUGUUCAAAUAUAACUUAAGAUCAUUUCUUGUGCUGACUCAAUAAAUUAUCUAGGCGUCGAAGGAAAAUCGCCAAUAGCUAUUGGCUUGAUCAUUGGAAUAGCAGUUGGUUGUGCACUUCUGGUUGUUGGACUUCUUCUCGUAACAAUCUAUGCCUUGAGACAAAGGAAACAGGCUCAAAGGGCCAUAAAACUAAGCAAACCUUUCGGUAAGUGUACCUUAAACUUGUCAUAAUAAAAUCUAAAAAAAAAAAUCUGUAGAUACAAGGUGUGUCGCCGAGGGUGUCAUAUCGCAUCUCAGUUUAAUAAAGGACUAGGAACACAACUCUAAGCCAUGUGUAUAAGGAAAACAAAUUGUUAAACCAAAAAAAGUAAGAAGAAUUUCAUUCUGUACUGAAAAAAAUACAUGGAAACAUUUACCAUUUACAAGUACGUUUUGUGAAUUUCAGCAUCGUGGGCACACAGUGGUGAUGAAAUUGUUGAUGCACCACAAUUGAAGGGAGCAAGAUGGUUUUCGUACGAUGAACUUAGAAGAUGUACCAAUAACUUUUCAGUGUCUAAUGAAAUUGGGUCUGGAGGGUAUGGAAAGGUAACAUAUUGGUUUUCCUAUGUCAACCAUACAAUUAUAAACUUAGACAAGUGAUGUUUCUACCGACCUCCUCAGGUCUACAAGGGAAUGCUUCCAGGAGGGCAAGUAGUUGCAAUCAAGAGGGCACAGCAAGGAUCAAUGCAAGGUGGGCAUGAAUUCAAGACUGAAAUUGAGUUGCUAUCCAGGGUUCAUCACAAAAACCUGGUGGCUCUAGUGGGCUUCUGCUUUGACGAAGGGGAGCAGAUGUUGGUAUAUGAAUUCAUUCCAAAUGGAACAUUAAGAGAAGGCCUCUCUGGUAUGUUCAGCUGUACCCCUAAAAGUGAGUUAAUACUCUUUGUCAUAACUUUUUCUUCAAUGUCAACUUCAGGAAAGAGUGGGAUACUACUUGACUGGAGGAGGAGACUUCGAAUCGCACUGGGUUCAGCAAGAGGAUUGGCUUAUCUUCAUGAGCUUGCUGAUCCUCCAAUCAUCCACAGGGAUGUUAAGACAAGUAACAUCCUACUGGAUGAAAAGUUAAAUGCAAAGGUUGCAGAUUUUGGUCUCUCAAAACUAGUAUCAGACAACGAGAAGGGGCAUAUUUCUACUCAAGUAAAAGGAACAAUGGUUAGCAGUUGUUAUUUCAUUUAUCAGCAAAAAAUACUUCCUUCUAUCAGCAACAGAAUGUUCUUUUUCAUGUGUUUUUAAACCACUAUUGCUAGUGAUAAAAUUUACCUGUUCAUAGAUAAGCAAUUGAUUAAAUUGAGACAUACACUGGACCUCCAUAUACUCUCCCAAAAUAUAUUGCCACUGGACCUAGUUUGAUUCUUUAAUAACUUAAUGCUUAUCAUUACAGGGUUAUCUUGAUCCAGAAUACUACUUGACACAACAGUUGAGUGACAAAAGUGAUGUUUAUAGCUUUGGAGUGGUUAUGUUAGAACUGAUAACUGCUAAACAACCACUUGAGAAAGGAAAGUACAUUGUCCGUGAGGUGAAGAUGGCGAUAAAUGCAGAUGAUGAAGAAUUCUAUGGUUUAAAAGAGUUGAUGGAUCAUGCAAUCCAAAACGCAGCUUAUCUCAUAGCUUUCAGGAAGUUUGCAGAGUUGGCCUUGAGGUGUUUAGAAGAGUCAGCUGGAGAUCGUCCAUCAAUGAGUGAUGUUGUGAAGGAAAUCGAGAUAAUGUUGAAUGCUGAUGGUCUAAGUACAAACUCAAAUUCAGCAUCUUCAUCUGCCACAGAUUUUGGAUAUGCAAAAGGCGUUCCUAAACAUCCUUACGAUUCUCAUUCUAGAAAGGAUGUUAGCAGCAGCAAUUCUUUUGAAUACAGUGGUGGAUACACAUUCUCAACAAAACCUGAGCCCAAAUAACAAGGGAUCUCCAUUUCCAAUUAUCUUUUUUAUUUUUGUAUUUGGACAGUACAUAUUCCUCCAAGUGUCAAUGCAUUGCAGAACUACAGAAAAAGAAAAUUCUCAGGCUGCAGGUAACAUUCCAAGCUGUUUUCUCUUGCUUCAUUAACCUCUAAUUCUAAAGCAAUGUUUAUUUUUACUCCCUCGUAUAUUUCUCCUCAGUUCUGUUUUAUUACACGAGCCUGAAUAACAAUUUAUAAUUUAUAUACAUAAAUAAUAUAUACAUAUCGGCUAGAAAACAAAAGGAGGCUUUAUGGUUAAAAUCAAGUUGAUUGCUCCUCAUAAUAAUUUCAACAAGUUUUCGAAAAAGCAUUCACAAUUUUGUAUGUUUUCUAUAUCUAAAUCCAUAUUCAUGUGAAUAAAUAAGAAAAACUUAUUUCUAUCUUCAAACUAUCCAAUUUUAGAAAAGCAAAGCUUUAGUGCAUAGAGUAAAUGACAAGUAAUCAUUCAAAACCUGUUGACAUUGCGGACCAAUUUGUUUCAUUGGAAAUGAACCACCAAAGUGAACUCAAAAUUGAGAGUUGAAUAUAACUCAAAAUUGGAGUUCCAAAAGGCUUGGAGAAAGUAAACCUCGAUGGAAAGCAACAAAACCAUUUAUUAGGAAAUGAAGGGAACAUCAAUUAUUUGGUGAAGAAGAUUUCUGUGAGUACUUCUAUGCGUGCAUGAGGAAGCAUAUCGAGUGUAUACCUGCUCUGUUUUAAGCAGUAUCAACGCAAGCACCACGUCGCCGAACCUUCCUCUCCAUUACCACCAACAUUGCACCGAAAGUAAUCCAACAAACACAGUAGAUGACCGCGGGAAAGAAUAUAAGCGAGUCCGACGGCGCCGACACCGUUCACCUCAUCAUCAGUUUCCUACAUACACCACCAUAAAAGCAACCAACAGUCCACAUUAAGAGACCACAAAAGGGAAUGAACCUCGAAUUGGUGGGACCCGAAGCCGCGGGAUGAGGAGAGGGCAGGAGGAAGGCAUCGACGAGGUUCCGGAUGGCGGUGAGCGGCGGCGUAGGGAAGUCCUGCGGUACCGCAACGUGCUGCUGCCCCCAAGUACGGACCUAGGGACGCGAGGACGCGCACCAACAGGGCGAAGAGCGCGACCGAUGCGGCCGCCGUGGACGGCGUCAGGGUCGUCAUCGAUCAGGGAAACCUUGCGGCACCAAUGCGGAGGCCGAGAUGAUGCCCGAUGGACAAUGUAACUGUCGAUCUCGUUCGUCUCUCGAAGGUUCGAAUUGGCUGCAUUUGGCGCACGGUUCGGUCCGGUUCGAUUCCGGAAAAAAAAACCGGAAGCAAUUUAUAUUUAAGAAAAA
RNAcentral lists this long non-coding RNA (3639 nucleotides) under Musa acuminata (dwarf banana). RNAcentral's name for it is "long non-coding RNA (MACU_LNC001161)". The record is from RNAcentral. Lineage: Eukaryota; Viridiplantae; Streptophyta; Magnoliopsida; Zingiberales; Musaceae.